AAAUUAUCAGAGCAAAUAUUUUGUUAAUUCAACUGCCUUUGCUUUGGACUUGGGGGCCUGCAGAUUUCACAGUCUGCUCCUCUUAAAUGCAUUAGCUGGAUUCUCGGUGAACUUGGUUCCACUCGGCGUGAUAAGUAUCACUCGCUGAGGACACCCGUUGAAAAAGGUGGCCAGGCUUGCGGACGAACCGCUUCCAACGGUCUAUUGACUUAGACAACGAAUUUACG
RNAcentral lists this unclassified non-coding RNA (227 nucleotides) under Rhizoctonia fusispora. RNAcentral's name for it is "partial internal transcribed spacer 2". The record is from RNAcentral. Lineage: Eukaryota; Fungi; Basidiomycota; Agaricomycetes; Cantharellales; Ceratobasidiaceae.